UACGGAGGGUGCAAGCGUUAAUCGGAAUAACUGGGCGUAAAGCGCACGCAGGCGGGCGUUUAAGUGAGAUGUGAAAGCCCCGGGCUUAACCUGGGAAUAGCAUUUGAAACUGGGAGUCUAGAGUACUGUAGGGGGGGGUAGAAUUCCAUGUGUAGCGGUGAAAUGCGUAGAGAUGUGGAGGAAUACCGGAGGCGAAGGCGGCCCCCUGGGAAUGGACUGACGCUCAUGUGCGAAAGCGUGGGGAGCAAACAGG
RNAcentral lists this ribosomal RNA (253 nucleotides) under uncultured bacterium. RNAcentral describes it as "partial 16S ribosomal RNA". It matches the Rfam family "Bacterial small subunit ribosomal RNA", at positions 524 to 776 of the family's 1533-position model. The record is from RNAcentral.